RNAcentral lists this long non-coding RNA (341 nucleotides) under Daucus carota (carrot). Its description in RNAcentral is "long non-coding RNA (DCAR_LNC004141)". The record is from RNAcentral. Lineage: Eukaryota; Viridiplantae; Streptophyta; Magnoliopsida; Apiales; Apiaceae.
UCCUUUUUGAUUUAAAAAUUCCGAAAAAUAGUUUCGAGCUUUAAAAUAUUUUUCCAAAUUAUUUUCAAGGCUCGAUAAUUUUUUAUGAAUGAUUUCAAGUCCAAUUUCAAGUAUUUGGGACUUGAUUAUUAAUUCGAAAAGUGAUUCUUUUAUCGAUGUUAAUUCCGAAAAAUGUUUAAAAAUUCCAGAAAAUUUUCGAAAAAUCAUUUUCAAUUCGAUAUUUGAUUUGACAUCAAUUGGGAUGGGAAACCUUAUGAGAAAUGCAUUGUCAGCUCUCUGUCUGAUGCAUUAUUAUACCGAAAGGGAGUUAGAAAACGGUUUUGAGCAUAACUUUUGAUCCG